RNAcentral lists this transfer RNA (118 nucleotides) under Moelleriella libera RCEF 2490. RNAcentral describes it as "Aschersonia aleyrodis RCEF 2490 tRNA". It matches the Rfam family "tRNA". From Rfam's summary of the family: Transfer RNA (tRNA) molecules are approximately 80 nucleotides in length. Lineage: Eukaryota; Fungi; Ascomycota; Sordariomycetes; Hypocreales; Clavicipitaceae. The record is from Rfam by way of RNAcentral.
GACAACUUGGCCGAGUGGUUAAGGCGUUUGACUCGAAUGUUUGCGCAUCCCGAGCGGGUACGCAAAUCAAAGAUAUCAAAUCCGUUCGCGGGCGUAGGUUCGAAUCCUACAGUUGUCG